This 765-nucleotide ribosomal RNA is filed under the name uncultured bacterium. RNAcentral's name for it is "bacterial SSU rRNA". It matches the Rfam family "Bacterial small subunit ribosomal RNA", at positions 8 to 763 of the family's 1533-position model. The record is from RNAcentral.
AGAGUUUGAUCAUGGCUCAGAUUGAACGCUGGCGGCAGNCCUAACACAUGCAAGUCGAGCGGUAGCACAAGAGAGCUUGCUCUCUGGGUGACGAGCGGCGGACGGGUGAGUAAUGUCUGGGAAACUGCCUGAUGGAGGGGGAUAACUACUGGAAACGGUAGCUAAUACCGCAUAACGUCUUCGGACCAAAGUGGGGGACCUUCGGGCCUCACGCCAUCAGAUGUGCCCAGAUGGGAUUAGCUAGUAGGUGGGUAAUGGCUCACCUAGGCGACGAUCCCUAGCUGGUCUGAGAGGAUGACCAGCCACACUGGAACUGAGACACGGUCCAGACUCCUACGGGAGGCAGCAGUGGGGAAUAUUGCACAAUGGGCGCAAGCCUGAUGCAGCCAUGCCGCGUGUGUGAAGAAGGCCUUCGGGUUGUAAAGCACUUUCAGCGAGGAGGAAGGGUAGUGUGUUAAUAGCACAUUGCAUUGACGUUACUCGCAGAAGAAGCACCGGCUAACUCCGUGCCAGCAGCCGCGGUAAUACGGAGGGUGCAAGCGUUAAUCGGAAUUACUGGGCGUAAAGCGCACGCAGGCGGUUUGUUAAGUCAGAUGUGAAAUCCCCGCGCUUAACGUGGGAACUGCAUUUGAAACUGGCAAGCUAGAGUCUUGUAGAGGGGGGUAGAAUUCCAGGUGUAGCGGUGAAAUGCGUAGANANCNGGAGGAAUACCGGUGGCGAAGGCGGCCCCCUGGACAAAGACUGACGCUCAGGUGCGAAAGCGUG